Molecule: long non-coding RNA, 1610 nt
Filed under: Cyanistes caeruleus (blue tit)
Lineage: Eukaryota; Metazoa; Chordata; Aves; Passeriformes; Paridae
Description: lncRNA (ENSCCEG00000007246.1)
Source: RNAcentral
GUAAUUAGGCAGUCACGCUGAGUGAUGUUAGACACAGGGUUCAGAGUCGUUACAGCCCUGCAGAAGAUGAAAGCACCCCCAUCUCCCGGCCCUGAGCUCUUCUCCAUGGCAGUGAUGAUGGGUCAGAGCAGGAGGCAGAGCUCUGUGACACGGGGCUGUGUCAUUUGUCACGGCUCUGGGGUCACAGCAUCCUGUCAGUGCCUGUGACCUCCACAUCCCCGCAGCUCCCAGGGGCACAGGACUGUCUGGAGCAGUAGAUUGGAAGGGCUGGAAGGGAAGUAUCCUCAAGCCAGUGUUGGAUGUCUGUGUCCUGCCUGUGCUAGGAACAAUUCCAGCCCCGUGGUCAGCUGCUCCAUCUGGGGAUGUUCCAGGGGUUUGUACAGCUGUUGACUGCUCCCCUUUCCCAUCUGUUUCAUCUGUUUCUCUCCUCCCUGACUCAUCUGUCCAGUCCACCAUUCCCAGCAUGGCAGCACCACCUGGAGCUGUUGGAGAAGGGAGUUUAGCAGAGCAGGGAAUCCAGGCUGAGCUCUCCAGUUUGCAACUGCUCUUUUUUUUUCUAUUUCUUUUUUUUUUUUUUUUCAGUGUUUGCCUUCCGAAUCCCACGGAAUAGUUACUAAUAUUCCAUCCCUGCUUAUUGAUGGGAAACCAGCUGGAGUGUGAUUGCUUGUUAUAUCUCAGGGCCUGCUGAUAAAUGUCGCUGCUGAGCUGGCCAUUUCCCAGCUGCCCAGGCCUCAGAUCCAGAAAACUUCAUUUUUCUUUUCCCUAAAAAAACUAAAGGGAUUAAAAACUAAAUCCACUGCAUUUACACCCAUCCCUAAAUGGCUCCUGCUCUGGAAGGGCUUUUAGGCACACAAAAAGGACUCAGCUGAACCUUGCUGGCUGCUCCAGGGCUUUUCCUGAGUAUUUUUAGCUCUUCCACAGUUCCAUCCCUCUCCUGCAGCAUCAUCCUGGGUUGGGACAACCCUGGGGCAAGGAGCCCAAAAAUGGCUUCACAUUCCCUGCAGAGAGGGAGCUGAUCCUCCCCUGGGAUGGUUUAAAGAUGGGACUUGGCUUUUCAGCAGCAGCAGCAGCCUCAGAGCCCCAGGACCAUCCACUUUUCCACCUGCUGCUCCUCAGGGAUCAGCACAAGAUGUGAGCAAUGCCCCGAGUCAAGCCCAAGGGUAGGAAAAACCCACAGGAAUCAGGCUCUGUGCCAUUCUCACUCACAGGGAGGAAUUGAUAAAAACAGCAAAAAACCCCAAAAACCUUCAGAGUUCAAAUUCAUCCUUUUUCUUUCUUUUUUUUUUUUUUAUCCCUUUAUGGAAUUUUUUUUCCAGCAUGAUACAAAUACAGUCACAGAGCUCCUCUGAAUAUUUGGAUUUUUUUUUUGUUUGAGCACCGGAUUCCUCUGUUCCCAUUCGCUCAGCUAAUUACCCUUUUAGCUUGCUUUUGCUCUAUUUUCACAGAUCUCCUGGUUUAUUUAUAUCUACCUAUCUAUAAUGAUUUCAGAGCCAUUACUCACAGCAGCACCAGGAAACAUUACAUUUCCCAAUUUACAAUUGCAAUUAUGAUAUCCGUCAGAAACAAAUGCAGCUGCCUUUAAUUUUAAGCAAUAUUUUGAUCAUUGUAAU